This 329-nucleotide unclassified non-coding RNA is filed under the name soil metagenome. RNAcentral describes it as "partial contains 5.8S ribosomal RNA, internal transcribed spacer 2, and large subunit ribosomal RNA". The stretch from base 1 to 120 matches the Rfam family "5.8S ribosomal RNA", at positions 35 to 154 of the family's 154-position model. The record is from RNAcentral.
GAUGAAGAACGUAGCGAAAUGCGAUAAGUAAUGUGAAUUGCAUAAUUCAGUGAAUCAUCGAAUCUUUGAACGCACAUUGCGCCCUCUGGUAUUCCGGGGGGCAUGCCUGUUCGAGCGUCAUUAUAACCACUCAAGCUCUCGCUUGGUAUUGGAGUUCGCGAUCUCGCGGCUCCUAAAAUCAGUGGCGGUGCCUGUCGGCUCUACGCGUAGUAAUACUCCUCGCGAUUGAGUCCGGUAGGUUUACUUGCCAGCAACCCCCAAUUUUUACAGGUUGACCUCGGAUCAGGUAGGGAUACCCGCUGAACUUAAGCAUAUCAAUAAGCGGAGGA